Zingiber officinale is the source of this 123-nucleotide long non-coding RNA. RefSeq lists it as uncharacterized. The transcript is spliced from 3 exons. The record is from RefSeq and is a predicted model, not a curated record. NCBI's taxonomy places the organism in Eukaryota, Viridiplantae, Streptophyta, Magnoliopsida, Zingiberales, Zingiberaceae.
AGCCUCUGUGCUACUUGCUGCCACAGAAGAGGGAGGUUCUUGGUUGUGGUUUGAGUGUGGAGGGUUUCCAGCAACAGUUACUUCGUCCAGCAGUAACUUUCCUUGCCUGUGGUGUAACAGGAG